UGUGGCUCGCACCUGUUCUAACUAAACUUGAGCUACCCUUUUUUCCACACGGUUGACAUCGGUUGGCUGUCCAACAGCGCGGACCUCGCGUACGCUGCUGGAAAGGCGGUCGACACUUCUAGUACCAAAACACUUUGGAUGAUCUAGGAAUUGAAUGAUCAAAAGUUUAAUUUUCUAACGAAAAAACAACUUUUGGCAACGGAUCUCUUGGUUCUCCCAUCGAUGAAGAACGCAGCGAAUUGCGAUAAGUAAUGUGAAUUGCAGAAGUGAAUCAUCGAAUCUUUGAACGCACCUUGCGCUCCCUGCAGAUCUAAUCUGGGGAGCAUGCCUGUUUGAGGGCCGCGAAUUGUUUCGAACGGCAGCUUUCUUCUUUUUUGCGAGAAAGUUGGCGGAUCGGUAGUGAGGGUCUUUUGUUGCCAGUUACCAUGGCUCCCUCGAAAUGCAUUAGCGCAUCCAUUUAAGAGGCAAAAAGGCGGACGAAAGCUCUGGCUUAUGUACGUCCUCCUUCUUCCUCCUGCCGGGUUUGAUAAUAUCAGGACUUCGGAGGCAG
Molecule: ribosomal RNA, 550 nt
Filed under: Pseudozyma sp. UFMGCB 2012
Lineage: Eukaryota; Fungi; Basidiomycota; Ustilaginomycetes; Ustilaginales; Ustilaginaceae
Description: eukaryotic LSU rRNA
Rfam family: 5.8S ribosomal RNA (bases 188-342)
Source: RNAcentral